GAAAUAUUCAGGAUGAAUAUUUACUAAUCAAUACAUAUCUAAUUAUUAAAUGCAUAUAAGAAAAGAAGAAAUGCAUAUGGAUGUUUAUCGAUAUCAAUAAUCUAAUAUUAUUGGUAAAGUCGAGUAAGGACACUUUUUAUGAUAGUUCAUUUUGUGAUCCUCACAUGGAUGGCCAAAAAGCAUGUAACCAUAUAUACGAGGACAGAAUAAUACCUAGAAACGGCCCUGAGAAACACUCGAGUAAGAAUACGUUUACGUUAAUUAGGUAUAUAUUUACUGCUGUAGAAUAGUAAUUGUAAACAUUUUUAUUGUAAAAUCCUUGCGAUAGUUGUUCUUUUUGCUAAGUGUAUAUCUAUUUUGUAAAGUUUAUAAAUAACAUGUUUGUAUAAAAGUAGACAUACAACAGAUUUAUGUCUAGAAUAAAAAG
This 427-nucleotide long non-coding RNA is filed under the name Androctonus crassicauda. Lineage: Eukaryota; Metazoa; Arthropoda; Arachnida; Scorpiones; Buthidae. The record is from RNAcentral.